RNAcentral lists this ribosomal RNA (590 nucleotides) under uncultured bacterium. RNAcentral describes it as "bacterial SSU rRNA". It matches the Rfam family "Bacterial small subunit ribosomal RNA", at positions 59 to 652 of the family's 1533-position model. The record is from RNAcentral.
ACGGAGUGCUCAUGACGGAGGAUUCGUCCAACGGAUUGAGUUACUUAGUGGCGGACGGGUGAGUAACGCGUGAGGAACCUGCCUCGGAGUGGGGAAUAACAGACCGAAAGGCCUGCUAAUACCGCAUGAUGCAGUUGGGUCGCAUGACUCUGACUGCCAAAGAUUUAUCGCUCUGAGAUGGCCUCGCGUCUGAUUAGCUAGUUGGCGGGGUAACGGCCCACCAAGGCGACGAUCAGUAGCCGGACUGAGAGGUUGACCGGCCACAUUGGGACUGAGACACGGCCCAGACUCCUACGGGAGGCAGCAGUGGGGAAUAUUGGGCAAUGGGCGCAAGCCUGACCCAGCAACGCCGCGUGAAGGAAGAAGGCUUUCGGGUUGUAAACUUCUUUUCUCAGGGACGAAAUAAAUGACGGUACCUGAGGAAUAAGCCACGGCUAACUACGUGCCAGCAGCCGCGGUAAUACGUAGGUGGCAAGCGUUAUCCGGAUUUACUGGGUGUAAAGGGCGUGUAGGCGGGAUUGCAAGUCAGACGUGAAAACUAUGGGCUCAACCCAUAGCCUGCGUUUGAAACUGUAGUUCUUGAGUGCUGA